CCUCCUUCUAAUCCACCAAUUUAGCGUUGAUGAAGACUCAACAGAGAGAUCCCAGCCUUCUUUCUACUUGCUGUAGCUCACAGUUACUCCCCACUGCAGAUAUGAAGCCUCUGUUCAUCUCAGUGCUGCUGGCUGCUCUGUGCCUUGAAUGCAGAACACAAAAAGACAACGUGCUGCAACCAGUAGGAGAUAAGACUGCUGCUGAAGGAGAGACUCUAACACUUGGCUGUCUAUAUAACAGCAGUACAACAAGUAAUUAUCUCUACUGGUACAAACAGGAUGGAAACAACAGCCCCAAGUUCAUCCUGAGUCGUGUUCAACAAGAUGAAGGGAACACAGCAGAUGAGUUCAGGGAGAGAUUUUCAUCUACACUGGAUUCCACCAUCAGAUCAGUUCCUCUGAAGAUCCAGAAGCUUCAUGUGUCUGACUCUGCUGUGUACUACUGUGCUCUGAGGCCCACAGUGACAGGAAACACCAAUGAUGCAGUAUCCCUGGCUCUGCAUCUGGCCCUGACACACCAACACAUGGACAGUGACGUUAGAAUGCUGUUCACAGACUUCAGCUCAGCAUUCAACACCAUCAUCCCACAGCAGCUCAUGGUAAAGCUCAGCCUUCUGGGCCUCAACACCUCCUCCUGGAACUGGCUGCUGGACUUCCCAACACAAAGGUUGUAA
This is a non-coding RNA of Mugil cephalus (flathead mullet), 674 nucleotides long. The record is from the annotation of a RefSeq genome assembly. NCBI's taxonomy places the organism in Eukaryota, Metazoa, Chordata, Actinopteri, Mugiliformes, Mugilidae.